GAGUGAAACAGGGAGGGAGAAGAAGUGGGGAGAGCGUGAGAGCACACAGGGAAGGGAUGCUUAAUCAGCAGACCAGCAUUCUCUUACCUUGGCAUCCACUUUGUUAAUAUUGUUUUGGCAAGUGCAGGCUGUAACAAUUAGAUGAUGGCAGCGUUUAUGGACGACGCAGGUGCACACUAGGAAAUUAAAUCCAGCAAUUACACAUUUAUCAGAAGCUCCCAGGACAGUCGGUUGCAGCAGUCAACGAAAGCUUGCCCAUGCCAGCGACUUGACUUGGAUGUCUGGCCACAUCCUGGCAGCCAAGCCAGGGCUCUCAUCCUUCCUGCAUCUAUUGACAACACCCUAACGAGACCUCUGUUUAAGGGCCAACUGUCUGCCGUCCCGCCCUAAGCUGCUCCCUCCUUCCUGUAUUUCAUCCUGCACCCACCUUCAGAGGAAUCUUUUCACGGUGUUUGGUUUGUGCGUGUAUCUGUGCAGCACACGCAAGCAGUACUCAUGGAGGCCAGAAGGGGGAAUCAGACCUCCAAACUGGAGCUGCACACAGUAAAGCUGAAAAAUAAAGCUAAUUUGGGUAACAGUACCGAUUCCCUAUGCCGGUGACAUAAACACAUCAAUCAGCAUUCAGCGUCUCACCCUGCCAACAGCGCAACGUGAAAACCAAAAACUGAUCUUCAGUACUCAAGGGCACGCUUGCACAUUGGUACUACUUCUCAGUCCCGUCAUGUUACUGCAAACUUUCAGCAACAAAGCUCUUCUGGGAGUCCUUGCUUUAGAAAUGAACAUGUUUCCUCUCUAUUGUCAAAUCAUCCAGGGUCUGGUAAGGACUACAGUUGCCACCUGGGUGCCAUGCGACUUGUGGAGAAUUACCAC
Molecule: long non-coding RNA, 870 nt
Organism: Peromyscus eremicus (cactus mouse)
Lineage: Eukaryota; Metazoa; Chordata; Mammalia; Rodentia; Cricetidae
Exons: 3
Source: RefSeq, a predicted model, not a curated record